RNAcentral lists this ribosomal RNA (468 nucleotides) under uncultured bacterium. RNAcentral describes it as "partial 16S ribosomal RNA". It matches the Rfam family "Bacterial small subunit ribosomal RNA", at positions 28 to 507 of the family's 1533-position model. The record is from RNAcentral.
GACGAACGCUGGCGGCGUGCUUAACACAUGCAAGUCGAACGGAAAGGCCCUGCUUUUGUGGGGUGCUCGAGUGGCGAACGGGUGAGUAACACGUGAGUAACCUGCCCUUGACUUUGGGAUAACUUCAGGAAACUGGGGCUAAUACCGGAUAGGAGCUCCUGCUGCAUGGAGGGGGUUGGAAAGUUUCGGCGGUUGGGGAUGGACUCGCGGCUUAUCAGCUUGUUGGUGGGGUAGUGGCUUACCAAGGCGUUGACGGGUAGCCGGCCUGAGAGGGUGACCGGCCACAUUGGGACUGAGAUACGGCCCAGACUCCUACGGGAGGCAGCAGUGGGGAAUAUUGCACAAUAGGCGGAAGCCUGAUGCAGCAACGCCGCGUGCGGGAUGACGGCCUUCGGGUUGUAAACCGCUUUCGCCUGUGACGAAGCGUGAGUGACGGUAAUGGGUAAAGAAGCACCGGCUAACUACGUG